This is a long non-coding RNA of Dermacentor andersoni, 562 nucleotides long. RefSeq lists it as uncharacterized. The record is from RefSeq and is a predicted model, not a curated record. Lineage: Eukaryota; Metazoa; Arthropoda; Arachnida; Ixodida; Ixodidae.
AGCACCCAAACAACAUGACGGACAAUGUGCGCUUGAAGCUAUGCUGCAGCUGAUUUAUUCAACGUAUCCACAGACGCUUGGAGCAUUCAGAGUAACAGCAAGAUCUCGCGUUGCGCCAGACCUCCUUGGACAAUGUUGUAACUCUAUGCGGGUGCGACAUGCUGGCACAAGGCAGCCAACCAGGCAACUCCUGCUGAACAGCGUUAUGAGCUUCGUCAGUGGUGUAUACCAGGCAUCGCACUAGGAUCUGGAACGCUUACCAUCUGGAAUGCGGCGCCCUCAAAGCUUACAAGAUAUGAGAGCUCACAUUAGCAUGAAGUAUGUACCAACGCAAGCACAAACUCGAAAACGUGUAGCGUGCUGGGCUUCACGGAAAGAGAUUUCGAAUCGGCAAAGCACUCAUAGACGUUCCCUUGCAUCUCUUUUUUGUGCUUCCUCUUCACCAAAAUCUGUCGCAGCGCGCUAAGGUAGAGAGGUUUCUGAAUUUUCAGUCGAGCGCACAAUCUUUCCCAUGUCGCCAAGAUUACAGAAACAUUAAAGAAAUUUGCGGAAAACUCUGGAA